This 83-nucleotide small RNA is filed under the name Arabidopsis thaliana (thale cress). RNAcentral describes it as "ATSL246160". Lineage: Eukaryota; Viridiplantae; Streptophyta; Magnoliopsida; Brassicales; Brassicaceae. The record is from RNAcentral.
AGAGAUUCGACUUCUUUGAUACGUGUGUGCUUCUCUAUGGUCGCAUUCUUCCACAGCCUAUGUUGCACAGAUUUUCUUGGUUU